UCAGGAGAAAAUUCAUCCACAGUCCACAAGCAGACUCCAGCUGGGCCUCAACUCAGUGAGAUGAAUCGACAGCCCUUUUGUUUUGCUUAAAGGUAUCUGAUGACAAAAGAGAAGAUGAAACUGUGGGAUUUGAGUAACUACCCAUGUUCCAUGGUCAGUUCACAAGUAACCAAACAAGCUUUGAGACUGAAGGCCUUGCAGAAAGUGACCCUGGAUGACAGCAUGGACUUACAAGUGCUAUUACAGUAAAGUUAGUAGGAGCAGUGCAGUCUUUAUUAUAGAAUGC
Long non-coding RNA from Aquila chrysaetos chrysaetos, 286 nucleotides. RefSeq lists it as uncharacterized. NCBI's taxonomy places the organism in Eukaryota, Metazoa, Chordata, Aves, Accipitriformes, Accipitridae. The record is from RefSeq and is a predicted model, not a curated record. The transcript is spliced from 3 exons.